GACGUAGGGCGCGAGCGUUGUCCGGAUUUAUUGGGCGUAAAGAGCUCGUAGGCGGCUCGUUGCGUCGGCUGUGAAAACCCGCAGCUCAACUGUGGGCUUGCAGCCGAUACGGGCGGGCUUGAGUUCGGUAGGGGAGACUGGAAUUCCUGGUGUAGCGGUGAAAUGCGUAGAUAUCGGAAGGAACAUCAGUGGCGAAAGCGGCUUCCUGGUCCAGCACCGACGUUCAGGCACGAAAGCGUGGGGAGCAAACAGG
This 253-nucleotide ribosomal RNA is filed under the name uncultured bacterium. Its description in RNAcentral is "partial 16S ribosomal RNA". It matches the Rfam family "Bacterial small subunit ribosomal RNA", at positions 524 to 776 of the family's 1533-position model. The record is from RNAcentral.